UUAAGCGACUAAGCGUACACGGUGGAUGCCCUGGCAGUCAGAGGCGAUGAAGGACGUGCUAAUCUGCGAUAAGCGUCGGUAAGGUGAUAUGAACCGUUAUAACCGCGAUUUCCGAAUGGGGAAACCCAGUGUGAUUCGUCACACUAUCAUUAACUGAAUCCAUAGGUUAAUGAGGCGAACCGGGGGAACUGAAACAUCUAAGUACCCCGAGGAAAAGAAAUCAACCGAGAUUCCCCCAGUAGCGGCGAGCGAACGGGGAGCAGCCCAGAGCCUGAAUCAGUGUGUGUGUUAGUGGAAGCGUCUGGAAAGGCGCGCGAUACAGGGUGACAGCCCCGUACACAAAAAUGCACAUAUUGUGAGCUCGAUGAGUAGGGCGGGACACGUGGUAUCCUGUCUGAAUAUGGGGGGACCAUCCUCCAAGGCUAAAUACUCCUGACUGACCGAUAGUGAACCAGUACCGUGAGGGAAAGGCGAAAAGAACCCCGGCGAGGGGAGUGAAAAAGAACCUGAAACCGUGUACGUACAAGCAGUGGGAGCACGCUUAGGCGUGUGACUGCGUACCUUUUGUAUAAUGGGUCAGCGACUUAUAUUCUGUAGCAAGGUUAACCGAAUAGGGGAGCCGAAGGGAAACCGAGUCUUAACUGGGCGUUAAGUUGCAGGGUAUAGACCCGAAACCCGGUGAUCUAGCCAUGGGCAGGUUGAAGGUUGGGUAACACUAACUGGAGGACCGAACCGACUAAUGUUGAAAAAUUAAGCGGAUGACUUGUGGCUGGGGGUGAAAGGCCAAUCAAACCGGGAGAUAGCUGGUUCUCCCCGAAAGCUAUUUAGGUAGCGCCUCGUGAAUUCAUCUCCGGGGGUAGAGCACUGUUUCGGCAAGGGGGUCAUCCCGACUUACCAACCCGAUGCAAACUGCGAAUACCGGAGAAUGUUAUCACGGGAGACACACGGCGGGUGCUAACGUCCGUCGUGAAGAGGGAAACAACCCAGACCGCCAGCUAAGGUCCCAAAGUCAUGGUUAAGUGGGAAACGAUGUGGGAAGGCCCAGACAGCCAGGAUGUUGGCUUAGAAGCAGCCAUCAUUUAAAGAAAGCGUAAUAGCUCACUGGUCGAGUCGGCCUGCGCGGAAGAUGUAACGGGGCUAAACCAUGCACCGAAGCUGCGGCAGCGACGCUUAUGCGUUGUUGGGUAGGGGAGCGUUCUGUAAGCCUGCGAAGGUGUGCUGUGAGGCAUGCUGGAGGUAUCAGAAGUGCGAAUGCUGACAUAAGUAACGAUAAAGCGGGUGAAAAGCCCGCUCGCCGGAAGACCAAGGGUUCCUGUCCAACGUUAAUCGGGGCAGGGUGAGUCGACCCCUAAGGCGAGGCCGAAAGGCGUAGUCGAUGGGAAACAGGUUAAUAUUCCUGUACUUGGUGUUACUGCGAAGGGGGGACGGAGAAGGCUAUGUUGGCCGGGCGACGGUUGUCCCGGUUUAAGCGUGUAGGCUGGUUUUCCAGGCAAAUCCGGAAAAUCAAGGCUGAGGCGUGAUGACGAGGCACUACGGUGCUGAAGCAACAAAUGCCCUGCUUCCAGGAAAAGCCUCUAAGCAUCAGGUAACAUCAAAUCGUACCCCAAACCGACACAGGUGGUCAGGUAGAGAAUACCAAGGCGCUUGAGAGAACUCGGGUGAAGGAACUAGGCAAAAUGGUGCCGUAACUUCGGGAGAAGGCACGCUGAUAUGUAGGUGAAGUCCCUUGCGGAUGGAGCUGAAAUCAGUCGAAGAUACCAGCUGGCUGCAACCGUUUAUUAAAAACACAGCACUGUGCAAACACGAAAGUGGACGUAUACGGUGUGACGCCUGCCCGGUGCCGGAAGGUUAAUUGAUGGGGUUAGCGCAAGCGAAGCUCUUGAUCGAAGCCCCGGUAAACGGCGGCCGUAACUAUAACGGUCCUAAGGUAGCGAAAUUCCUUGUCGGGUAAGUUCCGACCUGCACGAAUGGCGUAAUGAUGGCCAGGCUGUCUCCACCCGAGACUCAGUGAAAUUGAACUCGCUGUGAAGAUGCAGUGUACCCGCGGCAAGACGGAAAGACCCCGUGAACCUUUACUAUAGCUUGACACUGAACAUUGAGCCUUGAUGUGUAGGAUAGGUGGGAGGCUUUGAAGUGUGGACGCCAGUCUGCAUGGAGCCGACCUUGAAAUACCACCCUUUAAUGUUUGAUGUUCUAACGUUGACCCGUGAUCCGGGUUGCGGACAGUGUCUGGUGGGUAGUUUGACUGGGGCGGUCUCCUCCUAAAGAGUAACGGAGGAGCACGAAGGUUGGCUAAUCCUGGUCGGACAUCAGGAGGUUAGUGCAAUGGCAUAAGCCAGCUUGACUGCGAGCGUGACGGCGCGAGCAGGUGCGAAAGCAGGUCAUAGUGAUCCGGUGGUUCUGAAUGGAAGGGCCAUCGCUCAACGGAUAAAAGGUACUCCGGGGAUAACAGGCUGAUACCGCCCAAGAGUUCAUAUCGACGGCGGUGUUUGGCACCUCGAUGUCGGCUCAUCACAUCCUGGGGCUGAAGUAGGUCCCAAGGGUAUGGCUGUUCGCCAUUUAAAGUGGUACGCGAGCUGGGUUUAGAACGUCGUGAGACAGUUCGGUCCCUAUCUGCCGUGGGCGCUGGAGAAUUGAGGGGGGCUGCUCCUAGUACGAGAGGACCGGAGUGGACGCAUCACUGGUGUUCGGGUUGUCAUGCCAAUGGCACUGCCCGGUAGCUAAAUGCGGAAGAGAUAAGUGCUGAAAGCAUCUAAGCACGAAACUUGCCCCGAGAUGAGUUCUCCCUGACUCCUUGAGAGUCCUGAAGGAACGUUGAAGACGACGACGUUGAUAGGCCGGGUGUGUAAGCGCAGCGAUGCGUUGAGCUAACCGGUACUAAUGAACCGUGAGGCUUAACCUU
RNAcentral lists this ribosomal RNA (2902 nucleotides) under Escherichia coli DEC15A. RNAcentral's name for it is "bacterial LSU rRNA". It matches the Rfam family "Bacterial large subunit ribosomal RNA". The record is from RNAcentral. Lineage: Bacteria; Pseudomonadati; Pseudomonadota; Gammaproteobacteria; Enterobacterales; Enterobacteriaceae.